CUGAACGUGGCGUAAAGGGUGGACGUAAACCCAGAUGGGUUAUGUGCCCAUUCCCUGCCAUCCCAAUGGCCAGGUGAACGCCCACAUCAG
RNAcentral lists this non-coding RNA (90 nucleotides) under unclassified sequences. RNAcentral describes it as "L4-Archaeoglobi ribosomal protein leader". It matches the Rfam family "L4-Archaeoglobi ribosomal protein leades". The record is from RNAcentral.